AACAAAGUAAGUUUUUACAUCUCAGUUUCGUUUGUUUCCUGAGAAAAUCUAUCUUGUUUUGUGAAGAUUGUGAUUAUAAUCUGCUUUUUUGCUCUCAAAUCAUUGUCCCUAAGUACCAAUUGCGGAUAUUCCCUGUUUCAAAACCUGAAAAUUUACAAGUUCACUGUGUUUUUCACUCUGCAGUGAAAUUUCUCCUUUUUCUCCCCCAAAAUGUCUUUACAAGUCUUAAUAAUGGUAAUCAUCUUAAAAUACGAAGAGAAAAUUACUAGUUAGCAAUAUUUAUUAUUGAUUGAGAUCCAGUUCAACAGCAUUGUGAUCCAUGCUAUGAAUUAAUUCAAUAAUAUUGAAGUGAUUUAUAGGACCACUAAAUUAAAAAAAAUAAUAAUAAAAAUCUUUUGCCUUCCAUGUUUGAAGUAGAGACAAUUAAAGUAUGUUAGUAGUGGGUAGUGGUUACA
This 455-nucleotide unclassified non-coding RNA is filed under the name Hevea brasiliensis (rubber tree). The record is from RNAcentral. Lineage: Eukaryota; Viridiplantae; Streptophyta; Magnoliopsida; Malpighiales; Euphorbiaceae.